ACCUAAAACGUUGCUUCGGCGGGAACAGACGGCCCCGUAACACGGGCCGCCCCCGCCAGAGGACCCCCUAACUCUGUUUCUAUUAUGUUUCUUCUGAGUAAAACAAGCAAAUAAAUUAAAACUUUCAACAACGGAUCUCUUGGCUCUGGCAUCGAUGAAGAACGCAGCGAAAUGCGAUAAGUAAUGUGAAUUGCAGAAUUCAGUGAAUCAUCGAAUCUUUGAACGCACAUUGCGCCCGCCAGUAUUCUGGCGGGCAUGCCUGUUCGAGCGUCAUUACAACCCUCAGGCCCCCGGGCCUGGCGUUGGGGAUCGGCGAGGCGCCCCCUGCGGGCACACGCCGUCCCCCAAAUACAGUGGCGGUCCCGCCGCAGCUUCCAUUGCGUAGUAGCUAACACCUCGCAACUGGAGAGCGGCGCGGCCACGCCGUAAAACCCCCAACUUCUGAAUGUUGACCUCGAAUCAGGUAGGAAUACCCGCUGAACUUAAGCAUAUCAAUAAGG
RNAcentral lists this ribosomal RNA (500 nucleotides) under uncultured Fusarium. Its description in RNAcentral is "eukaryotic LSU rRNA". The stretch from base 120 to 273 matches the Rfam family "5.8S ribosomal RNA". The record is from RNAcentral. Lineage: Eukaryota; Fungi; Ascomycota; Sordariomycetes; Hypocreales; Nectriaceae.